Molecule: long non-coding RNA, 276 nt
Filed under: Pongo abelii (Sumatran orangutan)
Lineage: Eukaryota; Metazoa; Chordata; Mammalia; Primates; Hominidae
Description: lincRNA
Source: RNAcentral
AGGCUGGAGCUAGUCAGCAGCUUUUGCACAAGCACCAGGCCACUCACUGGAUAGCAGGGGAGGGAGGCGCUAUUUUGACCCCUGAAGUCUUCCCGUGCAGGGCAGACUCUUUGCAAGACUGACUACCUGGAGGAGCAGAGGAGCAGGGGAGAAUGCAUGUUCCUGGAAGUAGGGGACUUGCUUCCAAGAGAAGAGGGAACAAAGGUAGAAAAGAGAAGGACUGUACAACACUGUCUCAGCUCAUUUGUGCUGCUAUAACAAAAUGCCUGAGACUGG